GACAGAAAGCGGGAAAUGAGAAAAUAAGCAGAAAUUUUUAAUAUUUCACUAACUCUCUAUUCCCCAAUUUAUAUUUCUAUCAUUUACCACACAAAGACAACCCUAAUCAUUCUCUCUUCUGUCUUUUCCCCAUGGAUGGCUUGUUCUAUCCUCUAUAUCGUUUCCCACUGAUGGCACACAGAGAGUCAUAGCCAUUCUGCUUUUCUUUCAGUAAAUUCAUUUUGCUCCAAUGCCUCCUCUUAGCCAUCUCUAGGGCUACCAUAAAGGUUUAUUUCUUCAUAAUGGAGAGGGGUUAGUCCUCUUCAAAAUCUUUGUUCCAGAAGUUUCUUCAUCGCCAGCAAAGAUUUUAAGGGUGGUGAUUUAUGACUUGUUUGGAUAUUCAGAUGUAUGUAAAGAAUCAAUAUUAUGCAACUAAAUGGGUGCUCAAGAUAUGCAUUUUCGAGAAAAUGAGGAAUUUUUGAAAAAAUGUGGCUUGCAAAUUAUAGCAAUUAUGGAGACCUUAGACGGUUCACAACUUGGAAACAAAGGGACCAAAUUAUUGACUUUUAAUUUCCAUAUGAGAUUUUUGGGGCUAUGCAACAAAAUGCAGGUUGAACACACUUGGACAUUGUUCAUCAAGCUUUGGGAGAAGUCUUGUUCGUGAGUCACUUUUCGGGAGGAAAAGUGAAAGUGUUAUGAUUUGAAGGGAGUUCAAGAUCUUAGCACUUCAAAAAUUUGAUUAGGAGUUUAGAUUACAAUAGUUGUGACAAAUUCAAGAGGAAGUCUUUAUUUGUAUAAGUCAAUUUGUUUUUGUAAUCGUUUAGAUAUUCUUCUAAUAAAUUUCAUUCUCUGUGUGUGGUCCCGUAGACUAGUAGCAAUCUGCAAAGAUUGUUGGUACCACGUAUAAUUUCGUGUGUUUUUUACCUUAUGUUUGUUUUUAUCUUCUCGUGAUAAACUGUUUAAACAUAUCUGGUUUCUGUUCAAACA
Long non-coding RNA from Humulus lupulus (European hop), 966 nucleotides. RefSeq lists it as uncharacterized. NCBI's taxonomy places the organism in Eukaryota, Viridiplantae, Streptophyta, Magnoliopsida, Rosales, Cannabaceae. The record is from RefSeq and is a predicted model, not a curated record. The transcript is spliced from 4 exons.